Molecule: transfer RNA, 73 nt
Filed under: Stegodyphus dumicola
Lineage: Eukaryota; Metazoa; Arthropoda; Arachnida; Araneae; Eresidae
Description: tRNA-Thr
Rfam family: tRNA
About the family: Transfer RNA (tRNA) molecules are approximately 80 nucleotides in length. Their secondary structure includes four short double-helical elements and three loops (D, anti-codon, and T loops). Further hydrogen bonds mediate the characteristic L-shaped molecular structure. tRNAs have two regions of fundamental functional importance: the anti-codon, which is responsible for specific mRNA codon recognition, and the 3' end, to which the tRNAs corresponding amino acid is attached (by aminoacyl-tRNA synthetases). tRNAs cope with the degeneracy of the genetic code in two manners: having more than one tRNA (with a specific anti-codon) for a particular amino acid; and 'wobble' base-pairing, i.e. permitting non-standard base-pairing at the 3rd anti-codon position.
Source: RNAcentral
GCCUUCGUGGUGUAGUGGUCAGCACACUGAGCCUGUAUUUCAGAGGUCCGUGGUUCGAUUCCCGGCGAAGGCG